AUUGAACGCUGGCGGCAUGCCUUACACAUGCAAGUCGAACGGCAGCAUGGAGAGCUUGCUCUCUGAUGGCGAGUGGCGAACGGGUGAGUAAAGCAUCGGAACGUACCGUGUAGUGGGGGACAACGUAGCGAAAGUUACGCUAAUACCGCAUACGCACUGAGGUGGAAAGCAGGGGAUCGUAAGACCUUGCGCUAUACGAGCGGCCGAUGUCAGAUUAGCUAGUUGGUAGGGUAAAGGCCUACCAAGGCGACGAUCUGUAGCGGGUCUGAGAGGAUGAUCCGCCACACUGGGACUGCGACACGGCCCAGACUCCUACGGGAGGCAGCAGUGGGGAAUUUUGGACAAUGGGGGCAACCCUGAUCCAGCCAUGCCGCGUGAGUGAAGAAGGCCUUCGGGUUGUAAAGCUCUUUCGGCCGGGAAGAAAUCGCACAGGCUAAUACCCUGUGUGGAUGACGGUACCGGCAUAAGAAGCACCGGCUAACUACGUGCCAGCCGCCGCGGUAA
Molecule: ribosomal RNA, 504 nt
Filed under: uncultured bacterium
Lineage: Bacteria
Description: partial 16S ribosomal RNA
Rfam family: Bacterial small subunit ribosomal RNA
Source: RNAcentral